ACCCCUGGGGAGAAACGUUCCCCCCCUUUUCUGGUUUACAACACCGGGGUGUGGGCGAC
RNAcentral lists this transfer RNA (59 nucleotides) under Equus caballus (horse). RNAcentral describes it as "partial transfer RNA-Thr". The record is from RNAcentral. Lineage: Eukaryota; Metazoa; Chordata; Mammalia; Perissodactyla; Equidae.